This 88-nucleotide transfer RNA is filed under the name Rhizoctonia solani AG-1 IB. RNAcentral's name for it is "tRNA-Leu". Lineage: Eukaryota; Fungi; Basidiomycota; Agaricomycetes; Cantharellales; Ceratobasidiaceae. The record is from RNAcentral.
UCUCCUAGUCUGAUUUUUCAGGCGUGGGUUCAAAUCCCACUCUCGUCAGGCGAGAUGGCCGAGUGGUCUAAGGCGCUAGGUUCAGGUC